RNAcentral lists this ribosomal RNA (468 nucleotides) under uncultured bacterium. RNAcentral describes it as "partial 16S ribosomal RNA". It matches the Rfam family "Bacterial small subunit ribosomal RNA", at positions 28 to 507 of the family's 1533-position model. The record is from RNAcentral.
GACGAACGCUGGCGGCGUGCUUAACACAUGCAAGUCGAACGGAAAGGCCCUGCUUUUGUGGGGUGCUCGAGUGGCGAACGGGUGAGUAACACGUGAGUAACCUGCCCUUGACUUUGGGAUAACUUCAGGAAACUGGGGCUAAUACCGGAUAGGAGCUCCUGCUGCAUGGUGGGGGUUGGAAAGUUUCGGCGGUUGGGGAUGGACUCGCGGCUUAUCAGCUUGUUGGUGGGGUAGUGGCUUACCAAGGCUUUGACGGGUAGCCGGCCUGAGAGGGUGACCGGCCACAUUGAGACUGAGAUACGGCGCAGACUCCUACGGGAGGCAGCAGUGGGGAAUAUGGCACAAUGGGCGGAAGCCUGAUGCAGCAACGCCGCGUGCGGGAUGACGGCCUUCGGGUUGUAAACCGCUUUCGCCUGUGACGAAGCGUGAGUGACGGUAAUGGGUAAAGAAGCACCGGCUAACUACGUG